UACAGGGGAUGCAAGUGUUAUUCGGAAUUAUUGGGCGUAAAGCGUCUGUAGGUGGAUAUUUUAGUCUUUUGUUAAAUCUUUGGGCUCAACCUAAAACAUGCAAAAGAAACUAUUUAUCUUGAGUAUGGUAGAGGUAAAGGGAAUUUCCAGUGGAGCGGUGAAAUGCGUAGAGAUCGGGAGGAACACCAGAGGCGAAGGCGGCGACCUGGACAGUGACUGACACUCAACUACGAAAGCGUGGGGAGCAAACAGG
RNAcentral lists this ribosomal RNA (253 nucleotides) under uncultured bacterium. Its description in RNAcentral is "partial 16S ribosomal RNA". It matches the Rfam family "Bacterial small subunit ribosomal RNA", at positions 524 to 776 of the family's 1533-position model. The record is from RNAcentral.